RNAcentral lists this ribosomal RNA (118 nucleotides) under Heterocephalus glaber (naked mole-rat). Lineage: Eukaryota; Metazoa; Chordata; Mammalia; Rodentia; Bathyergidae. The record is from RNAcentral.
GUCUAUGGCCAUACCACCCUGAACACAGUUGAUCUCCUCUGAUCUCAGAAGCUAAGCAGAGUUGGGCCUGGUUAGUACUUAGUACUUGGGUGGGAGAAGAACAGUAUUACCCUUCACU